This 1614-nucleotide ribosomal RNA is filed under the name Triticum aestivum (bread wheat). RNAcentral's name for it is "partial small subunit ribosomal RNA". The record is from RNAcentral. Lineage: Eukaryota; Viridiplantae; Streptophyta; Magnoliopsida; Poales; Poaceae.
AUGGGGGACUUCAACGUGGCGCUGGUGAUCGUGGCGGCGGUGGUCAGCGUCCUCGUCCUGCUCGUCAGCGUCUACCUGCUCGUCAACUACCAGCACCCCGACGACGCCAACCAGGCCUGGUUCCCCAAGCUCGUCGUCGUGCUCGGCAUCACCGUCGCCGUCCUCUCCAUCCUCAUGCUCCCCGCCGACGUCGCCAACCGCCAGGCCUGCAGGCGGGCCGUCUACAGCGGCGCCUGCGCCCUCACCCUCCCCAUGAAGACGCUCUGGCUCGUCGUCUACAUCGCCGACGCCGUCCUCGUCUUCCUCGUCAUCCCCUUCGCCAUGUUCUACUACGAGGGCGACCAGGACAAGUCCGUCGGGAAGAGGCUCAAGAGCGCCCUCAUCUGGGUCGUCGCCUCCGCCGUCGUCUGCGGCCUCGUCCUCGGCAUCCUAUACGCACUUAUUGGUAAAGUGGACUUCACUGUCAGGCACCUCUCUUCAUCUGUCCAGGCAUUUCCAAACCCAAACCAGUUCAGUGCAUUCACAAGUGGCCAACCUUGCAUCGCCCCAUUGACCCGCCAGUGUUCAGCUAAUACUGCACCUCCUAACUCCCAAACAACUUGGACAAUGCGCGCUACAUUCCCCGAAUACGUGGUUGCCCUUGCUACCAUUGUUGGAUCUGUGCUCUUCACAAUAUUUGGUGGUGUUGGCAUUGCUUGCCUUCCAUUGAGUCUUAUAUUCUCGUUUGUCCGGCGUCCAAAGGCUGUCAUCACACGCUCACAGUAUAUAAAGGAAGCUACUGAAUUAGGUAAGAAGGCCAAGGAAUUGAAGAAGGCAGCGGAAGCCCUUCACCAAGAAGAGAGAAGUGGGAACAAAGGCAGAAAAUGGCGCAAAAACGUGAAGGCUGUCGAGAAGGAGUUGUUACUUUUGGAAAAUGACAUGAAUGCUCUAGAAGAGAUGUACCCUCAAGGAGAGAAGGCAGAGGCUACCUGGGCUUUUACAGUGCUUGCUUACAUUGGGAAACUCAUAUUCGGCAUUGUUGGGUUAAUUGUAUCGAUUGCUUGGGUUGCACAUAUUAUCAUAUACUUGUUGGUUGAUCCUCCUCUAUCUUCUUUCCUGAAUGAGAUCUUCAUAAAGCUGGACAGUGUUUGGGGUCUGCUUGGGACUGCUGCUUUUGCAUUCUUCUGCUUCUAUCUCCUCAUCGCAGUGAUUGCUGGGGAAAUGAUGCUUGGCCUGAAAUUAGUUUUCAUCACCAUUCACCCAAUGAAAUGGGGAGGAACUUUGAUGAAUUCGUUCCUGUUUAAUGUAGGACUGAUCCUACUCUGUUCCAUCAGUGUGAUUCAGUUCUGCGCCACAGCUUUUGCGUACUACGCACAAGCAACUGCAGCUCAGGAGAUCUUUGGCCACACGCUGCAGUCUCUUCGUGGAAUUAAGUAUCUCUACAAGUACAAUGUUUUCCAGUACGGCUUUGUUGCCCUUGCCAUACUCACCCUCUUCUACUAUGCACUUUUUGUAAGUCCUUUUUUGAAUUACUCAGCAAAUUCUGUAAAAGUUGAGCUUAUUUUAAUCACCAUAAUCUUUGUCCAGGGAUGGCGAAAGAGGAAACCGACAGGAAGAUUCCAGCUCUCAAGUUAA